Loxodonta africana (African savanna elephant) is the source of this 80-nucleotide small nucleolar RNA. Ensembl annotates it as small nucleolar RNA U105B. Its record names the gene SNORD105B. Lineage: Eukaryota; Metazoa; Chordata; Mammalia; Proboscidea; Elephantidae. The record is from Ensembl.
UCAAGUAUGAUUAAUGACAACACUGCUGCUGAGACUUUGUAAUUGCCUGGUUUCAAAGUAAACGCCCUGAUGCCUGUGGA